Molecule: ribosomal RNA, 302 nt
Filed under: uncultured bacterium
Lineage: Bacteria
Description: partial 16S ribosomal RNA
Rfam family: Bacterial small subunit ribosomal RNA
Source: RNAcentral
GCAGCAGCCGCGGGAAUACAGAGGGUGCGAGCGUUAAUCGGAUUUACUGGGCGUAAAGCGUGCGUAGGCGGCUUUUUAAGUCGGAUGUGAAAUCCCUGAGCUUAACUUAGGAAUUGCAUUCGAUACUGGGAAGCUAGAGUAUGGGAGAGGAUGGUAGAAUUCCAGGUGUAGCGGUGAAAUGCGUAGAGAUCUGGAGGAAUACCGAUGGCGAAGGCAGCCAUCUGGCCUAAUACUGACGCUGAGGUACGAAAGCAUGGGGAGCAAACAGGAUUAGAUACCCGAGUAGUCCCUGUCUCUUAUAC